UACUAACUGUGGGAAGAUGUCUACAUC
This 27-nucleotide non-coding RNA is filed under the name Rattus norvegicus (Norway rat). Lineage: Eukaryota; Metazoa; Chordata; Mammalia; Rodentia; Muridae. The record is from RNAcentral.